UUACCAACAUAACAUGAGAAUUAUCACACCAUGACAAAUGAUAAUUCAAGCAAGCGCUGCAAAUAACGUGAAGGCUAAAUUGUGCCUUAAACUGUAUCAUGAUUUCUCCCAAAGGAGCUCUGAAUUGAAGUAAUUAAAUCCAUACAUAACAACGUAUUUGAAAAGAUGUGGACAAACCACUAAUAGCACUGAGCAUCUCACCUUUUGAAGAUGAACGUGGAAAACAAAAUUGCUGAAAACGUGAUUCUUUAUUGAAAUUCCAAAGCCUUAAAAAGC
This 276-nucleotide long non-coding RNA is filed under the name Olea europaea (common olive). RNAcentral's name for it is "long non-coding RNA (OEUR_LNC014432)". The record is from RNAcentral. Lineage: Eukaryota; Viridiplantae; Streptophyta; Magnoliopsida; Lamiales; Oleaceae.